RNAcentral lists this ribosomal RNA (484 nucleotides) under uncultured bacterium. RNAcentral's name for it is "partial 16S ribosomal RNA". It matches the Rfam family "Bacterial small subunit ribosomal RNA", at positions 30 to 507 of the family's 1533-position model. The record is from RNAcentral.
AUUGAACGCUGGCGGCAGGCCUAACACAUGCAAGUCGAGCGGAUGAACGGAGCUUUCUCCUGGAUUCCGCGGCGGACGGGUGAGUAAUGCCUAGGAAUCUGCCUUGUAGUUGGGGAUAACGUCCGGAAACGGGCGCGAAUACCGCAUACGUCCUGAUGUAGAAAGGGGGGGAUCUUUGGAGCUAACGCUAUCUGAUGAGCCUAGGUCGGAUUAGCUAGUUGGUUGGGUAAAGGCCUACCAAGGCGACGAUCCGUAACUGGUCUGAGAGGAUGAUCAGUCACACUGGAACUGAGACACGGUCCAGACUCCUACGGGAGGCAGCAGUGGGGAAUAUUGGACAAUGGGCGAAAGCCUGAUCCAGCCAUGCCGCGUGUGUGAAGAAGGUCUUCGGAUUGUAAAGCACUUUUAGUUGGGAGGAAGGGCAGUAAGUUAAUACCUUGCUGUCUUGACGGUACCAACAGAAUAAGCACCGGCUAACUACGUG